GUGGGGAAUUUUACGCAAUGGGGGAAACCCUGACGUAGCGACACCGCGUGAGCGAAGAAGCCCUUUGGGGUGUAAAGCUCUGUCAGCUGGAACGAAAACAAUGACGGUACCAGCAGAGGAAGCAUCGGCUAACUACGUGCCAGCAGCCGCGGUAAGACGUAGGAUGCGAGCGUUGUCCGGAUUUAUUGGGCGUAAAGAGUUCGUAGGUGGUUUGUUAAGUUUGGUGUUAAAGAUCGGGGCUCAACCCUGGGACUGCACUGAAUACUGGCAGACUCGAGUGUGGUAGAGGCUAGUGGAAUUCCCAGUGUAGCGGUGAAAUGCGUAGAUAUUGGGAAGAACACCGGUGGCGUAGGCGACUAGCUGGGCCAUAACUGACGCUGAGGAACGAAAGCCAGGGGAGCGAAUGGG
Molecule: ribosomal RNA, 408 nt
Filed under: uncultured bacterium
Lineage: Bacteria
Description: bacterial SSU rRNA
Rfam family: Bacterial small subunit ribosomal RNA
Source: RNAcentral